Molecule: ribosomal RNA, 481 nt
Filed under: uncultured bacterium
Lineage: Bacteria
Description: partial 16S ribosomal RNA
Rfam family: Bacterial small subunit ribosomal RNA
Source: RNAcentral
GACGAACGCUGGCGGCGUGCUUAACACAUGCAAGUCGAACGAUGAAGGAGAGCUUGCUCUCCGGAUUAGUGGCGAACGGGUGAGUAACACGUGACUAACCUGCCCCUUUCUCUGGGAUAACGCUCCGAAAGGAGUGCUAAUACCGGAUACGAACUCUGAACACAUGUUCGGAGUUGGAAAGUUUUUCGGAAAGGGAUGGAGUCGCGGCCUAUCAGCUUGUUGGGGAGGUAACGGCUCACCAAGGCGACGCCGGGUAGCCGGGCUGAGAGGGCGACCGGCCACACUGGGACUGAGACACGGCCCAGACUCCUACGGGAGGCAGCAGUGGGGAAUAUUGCACAAUGGGCGAAAGCCUGAUGCAGCGACGCCGCGUGAGGGAUGAAGGUCUUCGGAUUGUAAACCUCUUUCAGUAGGGACGAAGCGAAAGUGACGGUACCUAAAGAAGAAGCACCGGCUAACUACGUGCCAGCCGCCGCCGUAA